This 429-nucleotide ribosomal RNA is filed under the name Pseudomonadota bacterium. Its description in RNAcentral is "Proteobacteria bacterium partial 16S ribosomal RNA". It matches the Rfam family "Bacterial small subunit ribosomal RNA", at positions 355 to 776 of the family's 1533-position model. The record is from RNAcentral. Lineage: Bacteria; Pseudomonadati; Pseudomonadota.
UGGGGAAUAUUGGACAAUGGGCGAAAGCCUGAUCCAGCCAUGCCGCGUGUGUGAAGAAGGUCUUCGGAUUGUAAAGCACUUUAAGUUGGGAGGAAGGGCAGUAAGCGAAUACCUUGCUGUUUUGACGUUACCGACAGAAUAAGCACCGGCUAACUCUGUGCCAGCAGCCGCGGUAAUACAGAGGGUGCAAGCGUUAAUCGGAAUUACUGGGCGUAAAGCGCGCGCAGGUGGUUCGUUAAGUUGAAUGUGAAAGCCCCGGGCUCAACCUGGGAACUGCAUCCAAAACUGGCGAGCUAGAGUAGGGCAGAGGGUGGUGGAAUUUCCUGUGUAGCGGUGAAAUGCGUAGAUAUAGGAAGGAACACCAGUGGCGAAGGCGACCACCUGGGCUCAUACUGACACUGAGGUGCGAAAGCGUGGGGAGCAAACAGG